Long non-coding RNA from Panicum virgatum (switchgrass), 223 nucleotides. RefSeq lists it as uncharacterized. The transcript has 2 exons. Lineage: Eukaryota; Viridiplantae; Streptophyta; Magnoliopsida; Poales; Poaceae. The record is from RefSeq and is a predicted model, not a curated record.
AUGAUACGCGGAUACUUCGCAAAACUCACGUACCGGUAUCGGAUACCGUAUCAGAUACCCGUACUCCCUGGAUACGUAUCCCGUAAGUAUCGGACUAUUUAGGUAUUUUCAAAUAAUAAAAAUAAAUCGGAUACUCGUGGGAUACCUGUGGAUACCUGUCCGAUACCUUCAAACCCUAACAACACCACUCAAUCGCUUCGUAUAAAGGUCCUCCGUUCAGCUG